CUCUGAGUCUGCCUAACCCCUUUCAAGCUCUGUUGCCGGUCUGGACUCCCACCGAUCAGCCCGUGGUCCUCUGCAUCGGACUGGACUCAUCCUGGACCUCUGAAUCUGGACUGCCUGCCUGUUGCCCGACCCCGAUCUGUUUGUGAGUAACCGCAUCUGUCUAACCCCUGUGUGCCUCUGAACUCAGCCGGACUAAGGACCUGGACUGGACCCCGACCCGCUCUGGACUAUCCCUCGGACCUUCUCAGGAUUUCGGAUUCCACCGGAACUGGACUGCCUGCCUGUUGCCCGACUCCGAUCUGUUUGUGAGUAACCGCAUCUGACUAACCCCUGUGAACCUCUGAACUCAGCCGGAUUAAGGACCUGGACUGGACCCCGACCCGCUCUGGAUCCGUCUCUGGACCCUCUCUGGACUUCUAACCCCUCGGCUCCUUCCCCGGACCCCCGUUUCUCUGCCCCGUUUCCUCGUUACUAGCCGGCGCUCGGAUUACCCGACUCUCCAGGGUUCCUGCAGACGUGAGCCGCUCGGGUUGCCGUGCGACCGCCAUUAAAUAAACACUUGAAAGCGUCA
Fundulus heteroclitus (mummichog) is the source of this 571-nucleotide long non-coding RNA. RefSeq lists it as uncharacterized. The transcript is spliced from 2 exons. The record is from RefSeq and is a predicted model, not a curated record. Lineage: Eukaryota; Metazoa; Chordata; Actinopteri; Cyprinodontiformes; Fundulidae.